UGACUUUUAGUCAAAUUUGACGUGCUGAUUUCGGCUCAGUGAGAAUGGUGGAUAGUACCAUAAAAGUUUU
This 70-nucleotide transfer RNA is filed under the name Bathymodiolus puteoserpentis. Its description in RNAcentral is "tRNA-Arg". Lineage: Eukaryota; Metazoa; Mollusca; Bivalvia; Mytilida; Modiolidae. The record is from RNAcentral.